GCGUUUGCAGUGUCGGUCCUCUGAGGGUCAGACGGAGGGACCUGAACGGACCGUGGUCUGCUGCCUGUGGAGAUGAAGGUGGAGGAGAAGCUGGAGGUGAAGGUGGAGCUGCUGAAGUUCUGCUUGGCAGUCUUUAACACCGUGUUUCUGAGGAGGUGCAGGUGGUGUCCGUGGGCCUGCUGGUGAUCGGUGGUGUUGGCGGUCAGCGUGGCAGCGACCUGUGAGAUCAGGUUCCUACUGCUGACGGGCGGCUGCUGUGGCAGAACCGGUGCUGCUGAUUGGCUGAGCAACACCUACAUCCAGAGCCUGAACCUGACGAGUCCAGACGUGCUUCCGUGUUCCUGCUUUCACUCGUUUCAGCGCAGCGUCAACUCUUCCUGGUGCUCCGAGCUGCUGAACCUCACUCUGAUUGGCCAAGGGAGCGGCACAAGCUCGCUCCUGAGGGGGCGCCGGCGGCUCUAAACCUGCUGUGUUUCAUAUCGCUGGUGUGAUGUGAUGUUUUACCCAUGAUGCUGCUGGGUUUGUGGUUUUCAGGGCUGCAGUCAGACGUUCAGUGAUUGGCUGCAGGAGAACUCCCUGACCAUCAUCGCCAUGGACGUCGCCCUGCAGUUACUGCAGGUAGUAACACUGCACUGCCUGCAGAGGGUGCAAACACACCUUUGUCACAGUCUGAGGGUUUUUAUGUGUCUUCACUGAGUCACCAGCAGAUCACUUUGACGUGUCAGCACUUCCUGUCUGCUUCUGAUUGGAUGGUUUUGAAUCAACAUGGCGGCCUGUUUGUGGUUAUAUGACAUAAAUAUUUAUUAAGGGUGAAGAAGAAGGAAGAUCAGCGCAGCUCUGUAUCUGUUAGUAGAUGAGGUACUGAGGUAGGUACUGAGACCAAGCAGCACAAACUGCAUUUCCUCCAGUGUCCACUAGACGCUGUCUCAUACAGUGAGUCUGGAUGGUAACCUUAUGUUACUCUAGCUCCAUCACACUGAGUGUUUCCGCCUCUCUGCAGGUGGUGCUGUUCGUCAUGGUGGUGUAUCUGUACCGUGCAUUUGGAGAAGGCCGCGCUCUGAAACGGACCGAUCUGCUGGCUGGCAGAGACCACGCCCCCACCGAUGACCUGGGGGAGCUGAACUACGCCUACAAUGACCAGGGUGUGUCGUGUCCUCACAGGGUAUACCCCGCCUCUCACCCAAAGCUAGCUAGGCUAGGCUCCAGCCCCCCGUGACCCUCCACUGCAG
Molecule: long non-coding RNA, 1229 nt
Organism: Parambassis ranga (Indian glassy fish)
Lineage: Eukaryota; Metazoa; Chordata; Actinopteri; Ambassidae
Source: Ensembl